GAGACAAUCCCAGUUGUUUGUACAAGUGGGCGCAUUCCCGAGGAAUGCAGAAAAGAAGUUUAUUAAGAAAAAGAACAAAUUUACAAUUGUAGAAAUUCGAGGAAUUUGACAAGGAAUCAAUGAGAAUAUCUGAUCUAUCAACUAGUUGGUAGUAUAGAGGACUACCAAGGUUAUAACGGAUAACGAGAAAUUAGGGUUUGACAUCGGAGAAGGAGCUUUCAAAAUGGCUACUACUUCUAAGGAAGGCAGCAGGCGCGUAAAUUACCCACUUUUAACAGAAAGAGGUAGUGACGACAAAUAACUCUAUUUUUGCUAUAAAACAAAAAUUGAAGGGAUGAAUAGAACGUAAAUAGUUAUAUGAAAGCAAU
RNAcentral lists this ribosomal RNA (368 nucleotides) under Entamoeba gingivalis. Its description in RNAcentral is "bacterial SSU rRNA". It matches the Rfam family "Eukaryotic small subunit ribosomal RNA", at positions 194 to 548 of the family's 1831-position model. Lineage: Eukaryota; Evosea; Mastigamoebida; Endamoebidae. The record is from RNAcentral.